Epinephelus moara (kelp grouper) is the source of this 797-nucleotide long non-coding RNA. RefSeq lists it as uncharacterized. The record is from RefSeq and is a predicted model, not a curated record. Lineage: Eukaryota; Metazoa; Chordata; Actinopteri; Perciformes; Serranidae. The transcript is spliced from 5 exons.
UUGACAGAUCCCUUCCCGAAGUUGCUGAACACACUUCACACAUUCAAACUUUGCUGCGGUUUGUAUCAUGUGUCACAGUCAGAGUCCCAUUUCACUUGUUAAGAGCCUAAUAUAUAAAUCUUUAUUUUUGUUUUUGUUAUUUUGUUUUGGUUUUGGGGUGUGAAAUCAACAUUUCUACACAGAGGGACCUCCACAGUGGAUGAAAUUUAGCCCCGACCUCUGACCUUUGGGUUCAGCGUUUGUCUCCAGUCCAGUGACCACAAACAACUCCUGGAUUGCUGUAAAUGUCAGUGCAGCGGCGUCUCCGCCCUCUCCCCUGUGAACCAUAGGGCUGCACUCAACCUGCACUAAUAGGACACUUUCAUGAGAGCUCCAUUAUCAGUUAGGCUGUCUUUGAUAUCUCAGGUUUCCUGCUUAUGAUGCCACGACAAAACUGAACGACUGUCAUCAAACAAACGGCAAUAAAGGUGUCAGCUGUAGCCUCAGAUUGAGAUGGAUGGAUCUCUGGAGUCUGCUCCCUGGCCCUCCACAGACGCUCUAUCUCUGCACAACACACAGAUGCAACAGGUUAAAGGGCAGAUUCCAGAUUUCCGGAGUAACUUACCCGCUGUGGAUAUUCAGAUCCUCAAGAAGAAGUAGAAACAAGACAAUGUAAAAAUACCCCACUGCAAGUAAAAGUACUUUAGAUGAUAUCACACAGCUAACUGUGACAAGAUUCCCAAAUGGCUCUCCUUUACAGUGAAACAUGUCAUCUGACCAUGUCGCCCCGGCUAGACCCAAAUAUUGUGCAUUGUUGG